This 253-nucleotide ribosomal RNA is filed under the name uncultured bacterium. Its description in RNAcentral is "partial 16S ribosomal RNA". It matches the Rfam family "Bacterial small subunit ribosomal RNA", at positions 524 to 776 of the family's 1533-position model. The record is from RNAcentral.
UACGAAGGGGGCUAGCGUUGCUCGGAAUGACUGGGCGUAAAGGGCGCGUAGGCGGAGUGCUUUGUCGGGCGUGAAAUUCCAGGGCUUAACCUUGGGGCUGCGUUCGAGACGGGCAUUCUAGAGUUUGGAAGAGGGUCGUGGAAUUCCCAGUGUAGAGGUGAAAUUCGUAGAUAUUGGGAAGAACACCGGUGGCGAAGGCGGCGACCUGGUCCUUGACUGACGCUGAGGCGCGAAAGCGUGGGGAGCAAACAGG